Molecule: ribosomal RNA, 573 nt
Filed under: uncultured bacterium
Lineage: Bacteria
Description: partial 16S ribosomal RNA
Rfam family: Bacterial small subunit ribosomal RNA
Source: RNAcentral
UGGGGAAUAUUGCACAAUGGGCGCAAGCCUGAUGCAGCCAUGCCGCGUGUGUGAAGAAGGCCUUCGGGUUGUAAAGCACUUUCAGCGAGGAGGAAGGUGGUGAGCUUAAUACGCUCAUCAAUUGACGUUACUCGCAGAAGAAGCACCGGCUAACUCCGUGCCAGCAGCCGCGGUAAUACGGAGGGUGCAAGCGUUAAUCGGAAUUACUGGGCGUAAAGCGCACGCAGGCGGUUUGUUAAGUCAGAUGUGAAAUCCCCGGGCUCAACCUGGGAACUGCAUUUGAAACUGGCAAGCUAGAGUCUCGUAGAGGGGGGUAGAAUUCCAGGUGUAGCGGUGAAAUGCGUAGAGAUCUGGAGGAAUACCGGUGGCGAAGGCGGCCCCCCUGGACGAAGACUGACGCUCAGGUGCGAAAGCGUGGGGCAGCAAACAGGAUUAGAUACCCUGGUAGUCCACGCUGUAAACGAUGUCGAUUUGGAGGUUGUGCCCUUGAGGCGUGGCUUCCGGAGCUAACGCGUUAAAUGACCGCCUGGGGAGUACGGCCGCAAGGUUAAAACUCAAAUGAAUUGACGGGUC